GAUGAACGCUGACAGAGUGCUUAACACAUGCAAGUCGAUGGGGAAGUGGUGCUUGCACCAUGGCAACCAUGGCGGACGGGUGAGUAACGCGUAAGGGACUUACCUGCAGGACUGGGAUAACAGGGGGAAACUCCUGACAAGACCGGAUAAUGUCAUGGAGCUGCAUGGCUUUAUGAUGAAAGGAGACGCCUGCGGAGAGCCUUGCGUCCUAUUAGCUAGUUGGUGAGGUACUGGCUCACCAAGGCGAAGAUAGGUAGCCGGCCUGAGAGGGUGGACGGCCACAAGGGGACGGAGAUACGGCCCUUACUCCUACGGGAGGCAGCAGUGGGGAAUAUUGGACAAUGGGGGCAACCCUGAUCCAGCAAUUCUGUGUGCACGAAGAAGGUUUUCGGAUUGUAAAGUGCUUUCAGAAGGGAAGAAGUAAGUGACGGUACCUGCAGAAGAAGCGACGGCUAAAUACGUG
This 463-nucleotide ribosomal RNA is filed under the name uncultured bacterium. RNAcentral describes it as "partial 16S ribosomal RNA". It matches the Rfam family "Bacterial small subunit ribosomal RNA", at positions 28 to 507 of the family's 1533-position model. The record is from RNAcentral.